CCUGAUGCAGCGACGCCGCGUGAGGGAUGACGGCCUUCGGGUUGUAAACCUCUUUCAGCAGGGACGAAGCGCAAGUGACGGUACCUGCAGAAGAAGCACCGGCCAACUACGUGCCAGCAGCCGCGGUAAGACGUAGGGUGCGAGCGUUGUCCGGAUUUAUUGGGCGUAAAGAGCUCGUAGGCGGCUUGUCGCGUCGACCGUGAAAACUUGGGGCUCAACCCCAAGCCUGCGGUCGAUACGGGCAGGCUAGAGUUCGGUAGGGGAGACUGGAAUUCCUGGUGUAGCGGUGAAAUGCGCAGAUAUCAGGAGGAACACCGGUGGCGAAGGCGGGUCUCUGGGCCGAUACUGACGCUGAGGAGCGAAAGCGUGGGGAGCGAACAGGAUUAGAUACCCUGGUAGUCCACGCUGUAAACGUUGGGCGCUAGGUGUGGGGGGCCUCUCCGGUUCCCUGUGCCGCAGCUAACGCAUUAAGCGCCCCGCCUGGGGAGUACGGCCGCAAGGCUAAAACUCAAAGGAAUUGACGGGGGCCCGCACAAGCGGCGGAGCAUGCGGAUUAAUUCGAUGCAACGCGAAGAACCUUACCUGGGUUUGACAUGGCCGCAAAACUUCCAGAGAUGGGAGGUCCUUCG
Molecule: ribosomal RNA, 629 nt
Filed under: Micromonospora sp. Ri3Pt_4331
Lineage: Bacteria; Bacillati; Actinomycetota; Actinomycetes; Micromonosporales; Micromonosporaceae
Description: bacterial SSU rRNA
Rfam family: Bacterial small subunit ribosomal RNA
Source: RNAcentral